AGAACGAACGCUGGCGGCAGGCUUAACACAUGCAAGUCGAGCGCCCCGCAAGGGGAGCGGCAGACGGGUGAGUAACGCGUGGGAACAUACCCUCCGGUUCGGAAUAGCUCAGGGAAACUUGGAUUAAUACCGGAUACGGCCUAGCGGCGAAAGAUUGAUCGCCGGAGGAUUGGCCCGCGUCUGAUUAGCUAGUUGGUGGGGUAAUGGCCCACCAAGGCGACGAUCAGUAGCUGGUCUGAGAGGAUGAUCAGCCACAUUGGGACUGAGACACGGCCCAAACUCCUACGGGAGGCAGCAGUGGGGAAUAUUGGACAAUGGGCGCAAGCCUGAUCCAGCCAUGCCGCGUGAGUGAUGACGGCCUUAGGGUUGUAAAGCUCUUUCGCUAGGGACGAUAAUGACGGUACCGGAUGAAGAGCACCGGCUAACUCUGUGCCAGCAGCCGC
RNAcentral lists this ribosomal RNA (443 nucleotides) under uncultured bacterium. RNAcentral describes it as "SSU rRNA". It matches the Rfam family "Bacterial small subunit ribosomal RNA", at positions 26 to 518 of the family's 1533-position model. The record is from RNAcentral.